CGCACGGUCGGGCCUCAUCAUCACCUGUGCCUGCUGGUCCUGUUCUGUCCCUGCCAGAGGUCCGUGUGCCUACUGAUUCUGAUCCGUUCCUGCCAGAGGCCCGUGUGCCUGCUGGUUCUGUCCUGUUCCUGCCAGAGGCCCGUGUGCCUGCUGGUUCUGAUCCGUUCCUGCCAGAGGCCCGUGUGCCUACUGGUUCUGAUCCGUUCCUACCAGAGGCCCGUGUGCCUGCUGGUUCUGUCCUGUUCCUGCCAGAGGCCCGUGUGCCUGCUGGUUCUGUCCUGUUCCUGCCAGAGGCCCGUGCGCCUACUGGUUCUGAUCUGUUCCUGCCAGAGUCCUGUGCGCCUACUGGUUCUGCCCUGUGUUAUCCAGAGGCCCACGUGCCUGCUGAUUCAGCCCUGCGUGUGCCAGGAGCCCCUGCGCCCACUUGUUUUUGGAAUGUUUUUGCUGGGGGGCCUGAGGAGCCCGUCCAGCCUCCUGCCUCGUCUGCUGGGGGGCCCGAGGAGCCCAUCCAGCCAUCAGCUGCAUCAGCGACGCCUGCAGCAGCAGCUGUUUUACCCAUGCCUGCAGCAGCAGCAGCUUCAACAUUAUCGCCUGCGGCAGCAGCAGCUUCAACAUCCUCAUUAUCGCCUGCAGCAGCAGCAGCCUCUGCUUCCCCCGCCGUCGCCUGGCCCGGCCUCCGCUGCAGCCUCGUCUGGUUCAGCCUCCUCAUCAGCUUCAGGGUCGCCUGCAGCAGCCUCAUCAUCAGCGUCGCCUGCAGCAGCAGCCUCAUCGUCCUCACCAGCUGCAGCCUCCGUGUCUUUAUCCUCGCCAGCUGCAGCCUCCGUGUCUUCAUCCUCGCCAGCUGCAGCCUCCGUGUCUUCAUCCUCGCCAGCUGCAGCUUCCGUGUCUUCGCCUUCAUCCUCGCCUGGUCCAGGUCCCGCUUCAGCUUCACCUGGUCCAGCCUCAUCAUCGGCUUCAGCGUUGCCUGCAGUGACCUCCUCUUCAGCGUCAUCAGCUUUGUUUGACCCAGCCUCUGCAUCAGCUUUGUCUUCGCCUGGUCCAGCUUCAGCUUCGCCUGGUCCGCCCUCCGCUUCAGCUUCGGCCUCGCCUGGCGCCCCAGCUCUGGCUUCAUCCUCGCCGGGUCCAGCUUUGGCUUCAUCCUCGCCGGGUCCAGCCUCCGUGCCUGCAUCCUCGUCUGGUCCAGCCUCCGUUCCUGCAUCCUCGUCUGGCCCAGCCUCUGUGCCUGCAUCCCCGUCUGGUCUAGCAUCCUCGUCUGCAGAAGCAGCUUCGGCCUUGCCCGGUCUGGCCUCUGCCUCGGCUCCAGCUUCGCCGAAUCCGGCUUCAGCAUCAGCUUCAGCCUCAGGUGCAGCUUCAGCCUCAUUCUCCUCCUCAUCCUCACCUGGUAUUGCGGCUGGCAUGCCGCCAUCCGGUCCGCAUUGGGCGCCUCCACAACGCUGGCCAUUUUCUAGGCAGCUGGCUGGUUAUCAUCGCCAGCGAGGACGCCCUCCUGAACAGGACUUCUGUCGCCGCCACUGCCUUCCGCGUGGCCGGCCUCCGGACUUAUGUCGCCGCCACUGCCUUCUUCGACUCCAUCCCCCUGAACUGUUUCAUCCUGGCCUUCAGUGCUAUCGGCCCUCGGGCCGGCCACCUGAACUAUGUUUUG
Molecule: long non-coding RNA, 1642 nt
Filed under: Oreochromis niloticus (Nile tilapia)
Lineage: Eukaryota; Metazoa; Chordata; Actinopteri; Cichliformes; Cichlidae
Description: lncRNA (ENSONIG00000039318.1)
Source: RNAcentral